UACGUAGGGGGCGAGCGUUGUCCGGGUUUAUUGGGCGUAAAGAGCUCGUAGGCGGUUGGGUAAGUCGGGUGUGAAAACUCAGGGCUCAACCCUGAGACGCCACUCGAUACUGCUCUGACUCGAGUCCGGUAGGGGAGCGUGGAAUUCCCGGUGUAGCGGUGAAAUGCGCAGAUAUCGGGAGGAACACCAGUGGCGAAGGCGGCGCUCUGGGCCGGAACUGACGCUGAGGAGCGAAAGCGUGGGUAGCAAACAGG
RNAcentral lists this unclassified non-coding RNA (254 nucleotides) under uncultured Acidimicrobiia bacterium. Its description in RNAcentral is "contains 16S-23S intergenic spacer region". It matches the Rfam family "Bacterial small subunit ribosomal RNA", at positions 524 to 776 of the family's 1533-position model. Lineage: Bacteria; Bacillati; Actinomycetota; Acidimicrobiia. The record is from RNAcentral.